This 63-nucleotide microRNA precursor is filed under the name Bigelowiella natans CCMP2755. RNAcentral describes it as "miRNA EPrBNAG00000013145". The record is from RNAcentral. Lineage: Eukaryota; Cercozoa; Chlorarachniophyceae.
AUAUGAUGAUGAUGAUGAUGAUGAUGAUGAUGAUGAUUUUCACCACCCUCAUCACCAUGAUAU